RNAcentral lists this ribosomal RNA (497 nucleotides) under uncultured bacterium. Its description in RNAcentral is "partial 16S ribosomal RNA". It matches the Rfam family "Bacterial small subunit ribosomal RNA", at positions 28 to 507 of the family's 1533-position model. The record is from RNAcentral.
GAUGAACGCUGGCGGCGUGCCUAAUACAUGCAAGUCGAGCGAACAGACGAGGAGCUUGCUCCUCUGACGUUAGCGGCGGACGGGUGAGUAACACGUGGAUAACCUACCUAUAAGACUGGGAUAACUUCGGGAAACCGGAGCUAAUACCGGAUAAUAUAUUGAACCGCAUGGUUCAAUAGUGAAAGACGGUUUUGCUGUCACUUAUAGAUGGAUCCGCGCCGCAUUAGCUAGUUGGUAAGGUAACGGCUUACCAAGGCGACGAUGCGUAGCCGACCUGAGAGGGUGAGCGGCCACACUGGAACUGAGGCACGGUCCAGACUCCUACGGGAGGCAGCAGUAGGGAAUCUUCCGCAAUGGGCGAAAGCCUGACGGAGCAACGCCGCGUGAGUGAUGAAGGUCUUCUGAUCGUAAAACUCUGUUAUUAGGGAAGAACAAAUGUGUAAGUAACUAUGCACGUCUUGACGGUACCUAAUCAGAAAGCCACGGCUAACUACGUG